RNAcentral lists this ribosomal RNA (454 nucleotides) under uncultured Porphyromonadaceae bacterium. RNAcentral describes it as "partial 16S ribosomal RNA". It matches the Rfam family "Bacterial small subunit ribosomal RNA", at positions 341 to 792 of the family's 1533-position model. Lineage: Bacteria; Pseudomonadati; Bacteroidota; Bacteroidia; Bacteroidales; Porphyromonadaceae. The record is from RNAcentral.
ACGGAAGGCAGCAGUGAGGAAUAUUGGUCAAUGGGCGGAAGCCUGAACCAGCCAAGUCGCGUGAAGGAAGGCGGUUCUAUGGAUUGUAAACUUCUUUUGUUCGAGGGUAAAGUGAGAGAUGCGUCUCUUAUUGCAAGUAUCGGACGAAUAAGCAUCGGCUAACUCCGUGCCAGCAGCCGCGGUAAUACGGAGGAUGCGAGCGUUAUCCGGAUUUAUUGGGUUUAAAGGGUGCGUAGGCGGCCUCUUAAGUCGGCGGUGAAAUUUCCGGGCUCAACCCGGUCACUGCCGUCGAAACUGGGGGGCUUGAGUGCGUUUGGGGUGGCUGGAAUGUGCGGUGUAGCGGUGAAAUGCAUAGAUAUCGCACAGAACGCCGAUCGCGGAGGCAGGUCACCAAGCCGCAACUGACGCUGAGGCACGAAAGCGCGGGGAUCGAACAGGAUUAGAUACCCUGGUA